This 477-nucleotide ribosomal RNA is filed under the name uncultured bacterium. Its description in RNAcentral is "partial 16S ribosomal RNA". It matches the Rfam family "Bacterial small subunit ribosomal RNA", at positions 28 to 506 of the family's 1533-position model. The record is from RNAcentral.
GACGAACGCUGGCGGCGUGCUUAACACAUGCAAGUCGAACGGGAUUUCGUAAACAGCCACCUCGGUGGAAGAUUACUAAUGAGAGUGGCGAACGGGUGAGUAACGCGUGAGCAACCUGCCUAUGACAGUGGGAUAGCCUCGGGAAACCGGGAUUAAUACCGCAUAAAAUCGUAGAAACACAUGUUUUAACGGUCAAAGAUUUAUCGGUCAUAGAUGGGCUCGCGUCUGAUUAGCUAGUUGGUGAGAUAACAGCCCACCAAGGCGACGAUCAGUAGCCGGUAUGAGAGGAUGAACGGCCACAUUGGAAAGGAGACAAGGGCCAAACUCCGACGGGGGGCAGCAGGGGGGAAAAUUGCAAAAUGGGGGAAAACCGGAUGCAGCGAAGCCGGGGGAACGAAGAAGGUAUUCGUAUCGGAAAGUUCUGUCCAAGGGGAAGAUAAUGACAGUACCAAAGAAGAAAGCCCAGGAUAAAUACGU